GAUGAACGCUGGCGGCGUGCCUAAUACGUGCAAGUCGAGCGAACAGAUGAGGAGCUUGCUCCUCUGACGUUAGCGGCGGACGGGUGAGUAACACGUGGAUAACCUACCUAUAAGACUGGGAUAACUUCGGGAAACCGUAGCUAAUACCGGAUAAUAUAUUGAACCGCAUGGUUCAAUAGUGAGAGACGGUUUUGCUGUCACUUAUAGAUGGAUCCGCGCCGCAUUAGCUAGUUGGUAAGGUAACGGCUUACCAAGGCAACGAUGCGUAGCCGACCUGAGAGGGUGAUCGGCCACACUGGAACUGAGACACGGUCCAGACUCCUACGGGAGGCAGCAGUAGGGAAUCUUCCGCAAAGGGCGAAAGCCUGACGGAGCAACGCCGCGUGAGUGAUGAAGGUCUUCGGAUCGUAAAACUCUGUUAUUAGGGAAGAACAAAUGUGUAAGUAACUAUGCACGUCUUGACGGUACCUAAUCAGAAAGCCACGGCUAACUACGUG
Molecule: ribosomal RNA, 497 nt
Filed under: uncultured bacterium
Lineage: Bacteria
Description: partial 16S ribosomal RNA
Rfam family: Bacterial small subunit ribosomal RNA
Source: RNAcentral